This 300-nucleotide signal recognition particle RNA is filed under the name Cebus imitator (Panamanian white-faced capuchin). RNAcentral describes it as "Metazoan signal recognition particle RNA (ENSCCAG00000000782.1)". It matches the Rfam family "Metazoan signal recognition particle RNA". Rfam says of the family: The signal recognition particle (SRP) is a universally conserved ribonucleoprotein. It is involved in the co-translational targeting of proteins to membranes. Lineage: Eukaryota; Metazoa; Chordata; Mammalia; Primates; Cebidae. The record is from RNAcentral.
GCCAGGUGCAGUGACACAUGCCUGCAAGUCCCAGUUACUGGGGAGGCUGAGGUGGGAGGAUCACUUGAGCCCAGGAGUUCUGAGUUGUAGUGCGCUAUGCCAGUCAGGUGUCCACACUAAGUUCGGCAUCAGUAUGGUGACCUCCCAGGAGCAGCGGACCACCAGGUGGCCUAAGGAAGGGUGAAUCGGCCCAGGUCAGAAACAGAGCAGGUCAAAACUCCUGUGCUGAUCAGUUGUGGGAUGGCGCCUGUGAAUAGCCACUGUACUCCAGCCUGGGCAACAUAGCAAGACCCUAUCUCU